UACGUAGGGUGCGAGCGUUGUCCGGAAUUAUUGGGCGUAAAGGGCUCGUAGGCGGUUUGUCGCGUCGGGAGUGAAAACCCAGGGCUUAACCCUGGGCUGGCUUCCGAUACGGGCAGACUAGAGGUAUGCAGGGGAGAACGGAAUUCCUGGUGUAGCGGUGAAAUGCGCAGAUAUCAGGAGGAACACCGGUGGCGAAGGCGGUUCUCUGGGCAUUACCUGACGCUGAGGAGCGAAAGUGUGGGGAGCGAAAGGG
This 253-nucleotide ribosomal RNA is filed under the name uncultured bacterium. RNAcentral describes it as "partial 16S ribosomal RNA". It matches the Rfam family "Bacterial small subunit ribosomal RNA", at positions 524 to 776 of the family's 1533-position model. The record is from RNAcentral.